RNAcentral lists this microRNA precursor (102 nucleotides) under Otolemur garnettii (small-eared galago). RNAcentral's name for it is "miRNA (ENSOGAG00000032296.1)". The record is from RNAcentral. Lineage: Eukaryota; Metazoa; Chordata; Mammalia; Primates; Galagidae.
UGUGCAAAGCAUUGGCACAUGCUUUUCAAAUUCAUACAUAUAUGUGUGUGUGUGUGUGUGUGUGUGUGUGUGUACACACACACACAUAUAUAUAGUAUAUGU